GUAGACGAGGGACGUACUCAAGAGUAAACCUCGCCUACGGAGGAACGUGGGUAGACGAGGGACGUACUCAAGAGUAAACCUCGCCUACGGAGGAACGUGGGUAGACGAGGGACGUACUCAAGAGUAAACCUCGCCUACGGAAGAACGUGGGUAGACGAGGGACGUACUCAAAAAUAGACCCCACCUAUGGAAGAAUAUAGGUAGAUGAGGGGCCACAUUCAGGCUCAGCCGCGGAAGCAGCGAGCAAAAGGAGGAG
RNAcentral lists this long non-coding RNA (256 nucleotides) under Zostera marina. RNAcentral describes it as "long non-coding RNA (ZMAR_LNC000296)". Lineage: Eukaryota; Viridiplantae; Streptophyta; Magnoliopsida; Alismatales; Zosteraceae. The record is from RNAcentral.